Molecule: transfer RNA, 99 nt
Filed under: Cadophora sp. MPI-SDFR-AT-0126
Lineage: Eukaryota; Fungi; Ascomycota; Leotiomycetes; Helotiales; Ploettnerulaceae
Description: Leotiomycetes sp. MPI-SDFR-AT-0126 tRNA-Ala
Source: RNAcentral
GGGGAUAUGACGAAGUGGUAUCGUGCAUCAUUUGCAUUCUGCUCUCGCAGCAGUAUUCAUGACUUGAUGAAAUCCCGUGUUCGAUCCGCGGUAUCUCCA